Non-coding RNA from Karstenula rhodostoma CBS 690.94, 137 nucleotides. NCBI's taxonomy places the organism in Eukaryota, Fungi, Ascomycota, Dothideomycetes, Pleosporales, Didymosphaeriaceae. The record is from the annotation of a GenBank genome assembly.
GGGCUUGUGGUUUAGGGGUAUAAUGUAAGCUUUCCACCUCCACCAUCCCUCUCACACUUAACUAACAUUCAUAGGUUCGCUUCGCAUCAUCCGCAUGUGUCUGCGAAAGGUCCUGGGUUCGAUUCCCAGCAAGUCCA